RNAcentral lists this ribosomal RNA (635 nucleotides) under uncultured Alphaproteobacteria bacterium. RNAcentral's name for it is "bacterial SSU rRNA". It matches the Rfam family "Bacterial small subunit ribosomal RNA", at positions 53 to 734 of the family's 1533-position model. Lineage: Bacteria; Pseudomonadati; Pseudomonadota; Alphaproteobacteria. The record is from RNAcentral.
ACAUGCAAGUCGAACGAGAUCUUCGGAUCUAGUGGCGCACGGGUGCGUAACGCGUGGGAAUCUGCCCUUGGGUUCGGAAUAACGUCGGGAAACUGACGCUAAUACCGGAUGAUGACGAAAGUCCAAAGAUUUAUCGCCCAGGGAUGAGCCCGCGUAGGAUUAGCUAGUUGGUGGGGUAAAGGCUCACCAAGGCUACGAUCCUUAGCUGGUCUGAGAGGAUGAUCAGCCACACUGGGACUGAGACACGGCCCAGACUCCUACGGGAGGCAGCAGUAGGGAAUAUUGGACAAUGGGGGCAACCCUGAUCCAGCAAUGCCGCGUGAGUGAUGAAGGCCUUAGGGUUGUAAAGCUCUUUUACCCGAGAUGAUAAUGACAGUAUCGGGAAAAUAAGCUCCGGCUAACUCCGUGCCAGCAGCCGCGGUAAUACGGAGGGAGCUAGCGUUGUUCGGAAUUACUGGGCGUAAAGCGCACGUAGGCGGCGAUUUAAGUCAGAGGUGAAAGCCCGGGGCUCAACCCCAGAACUGCCUUUGAGACUGGAUUGCUAGAAUCUUGGAGAGGCGGGUGGAAUUCCGAGCGUAGAGGUGAAAUUCGUAGAUAUUCGGAAGAACACCAGUGGCGAAGGCGGCCCGCUGGAC